CGACCGGCGCACGGGUGCGUAACGCGUAUGCAACCUACCUUCUACAGGGGGAUAGUCAAUAGAAAUGUUGAAUAAUACCCCAUACGAUCUUUGAGUGGCAUUACUUAAAGAGGAAAGCUUCGGCGGUAGAAGAUGGGCAUGCGUCCUAUUAGUUAGUUGGUGAGGUAACGGCUCACCAAGACUACGAUAGGUAGGGGCCCUGAGAGGGGGAUCCCCCACACUGGUACUGAGACACGGACCAGACUCCUACGGGAGGCAGCAGUGAGGAAUAUUGGACAAUGGAGGCAACUCUGAUCCAGCCAUGCCGCGUGCAGGAAGACUGCCCUAUGGGUUGUAAACUGCUUUUAUACAGGAAGAAACCUACUUACGUGUAAGUAGCUGACGGUACUGUAAGAAUAAGGAUCGGCUAACUCCGUGCCAGCAGCCGCGGUAAUACGGAGGAUCCAAGCGUUAUCCGGAAUCAUUGGGUUUAAAGGGUCCGUAGGUGGUUUAUUCAGUCAGAGGUGAAAUCCCAUAGCUUAACUAUGGAACUGCCUUUGAUACUGAUAGACUUGAGUUAUUGUGAAGUGGUUAGAAUGUGUAGUGUAGCGGUGAAAUGCAUAGAUAUUACACAGAAUACCGAUUGCGAAGGCAGAUCACUAACAAUAUACUGACACUGAGGGACGAAAGCGUGGGUAGCGAACAGGAUUAGAUACCCUGGA
Molecule: ribosomal RNA, 701 nt
Filed under: uncultured bacterium
Lineage: Bacteria
Description: bacterial SSU rRNA
Rfam family: Bacterial small subunit ribosomal RNA
Source: RNAcentral